ACAACGCUGGCGGCAUGCCUUACACAUGCAAGUCGAACGGUAACAGGUCUUCGGAUGCUGACGAGUGGCGAACGGGUGAGUAAUACAUCGGAACGUGCCCGAUCGUGGGGGAUAACGCAGCGAAAGCUGUGCUAAUACCGCAUACGAUCUACGGAUGAAAGCGGGGGAUCGCAAGACCUCGCGCGAUUGGAGCGGCCGAUAUCAGAUUAGCUAGUUGGUGGGGUAAAAGCUCACCAAGGCGACGAUCUGUAGCUGGUCUGAGAGGACGACCAGCCACACUGGAACUGAGACACGGUCCAGACUCCUACGGGAGGCAGCAGUGGGGAAUUUUGGACAAUGGGCGCAAGCCUGAUCCAGCAAUGCCGCGUGCAGGAUGAAGGCCUUCGGGUUGUAAACUGCUUUUGUACGGAACGAAACGGUGAGCUCUAAUAAAGCUUGCUAAUGACGGUACCGUAAGAAUAAGCACCGGCUAACUACGUG
This 480-nucleotide ribosomal RNA is filed under the name uncultured bacterium. RNAcentral describes it as "bacterial SSU rRNA". It matches the Rfam family "Bacterial small subunit ribosomal RNA", at positions 32 to 507 of the family's 1533-position model. The record is from RNAcentral.